This is a long non-coding RNA of Cephus cinctus (wheat stem sawfly), 303 nucleotides long. RefSeq lists it as uncharacterized. The transcript has 2 exons. NCBI's taxonomy places the organism in Eukaryota, Metazoa, Arthropoda, Insecta, Hymenoptera, Cephidae. The record is from RefSeq and is a predicted model, not a curated record.
UAGUGUAUUUUCUGGGGUGUUUCCCUUGGGUUUCCAGCCGCUCACAGACAGCGUGUUUUCGAAUUACUAUAUACGAAUUUAAUUGGGAAGUCCACUAUUGAAGAAGGUUGUGGGGUCAUUGCCAGAUCAAAUUCAUUUGGAAGCCGAGAAAGUUUAAUUUUAAAUUAUGAUAAAAUUAAGAAUUUUUUGUGGGAUCGGUUAUAGGUUGCUUAACCAAGUUAGAAAGCUAAAUAAUCUGAAAUAAUACUAUUGACUAAAUGGUCUAUGUAGGAUUGAAUGUAUAAAGUAAUUGUUGAACUGAGA